This is a long non-coding RNA of Panicum hallii, 2115 nucleotides long. RefSeq lists it as uncharacterized. NCBI's taxonomy places the organism in Eukaryota, Viridiplantae, Streptophyta, Magnoliopsida, Poales, Poaceae. The record is from RefSeq and is a predicted model, not a curated record. The transcript has 2 exons.
GAUCACGUAUCAGUAGGGCAAACUAUAGGAUGGCUUUCCGAGACCAAAACCAGAUACUCGCGUCUCACGGGCGGAUUCAGCAGCUUUAGGCUCGGUUGGGCAAAUCAACGAGCUUCGUGCCUGAUUGCUCCCCGUUUUUCUGUCUGCUCCCUAAAGCGACUAUUGAUUGUAAAUUAAGACAUAGGAUAGGAGUACUCCUAUUUUGACCUGCCUAUUUUUUCCGUUGAGUGCACGCGAGACGCGGCAACAGUUGAGUGCACGCGGUGCCAACCUUUUUCUUGGAAACAUCGCGUGAUCGUCCUUCUCGAUCGGGUACAACAAGCAAAUCCGUCCGAUGUACCGAGGUCAUCGUCUCGUCUCCUUCGUCGAUGCUGCUCAACCUCUGGCGGCGGCCAACUUUGCCGGUACCCACGGCGAUGGGCCGGGGAGGAAGCCAAAGGCCGACGGAGGGCCUGCUGCCUCCUCUAGUCUUGGAGGAGAAUGUGGUUGUAGCUAGCCUUGUAGGCUCGCAGCUUGAGCGGUUCAGCAGUUCAGCUUGGACGGAGAAGAACGGCGGCGCAGCCGAUUGAACCAGCACCGUUACCUCGCCGGCCGGUCGAUAGGCAGCAGCUUGAUGCUGAGGGCGAAAUCCAUCCUCCUCGACCUUGAUGCCAUGGAUACCAGUGAGAUCGAGCAACCAGCUCCGCAGAUGGCUCAUGUACACAGGGCUUCCAAAUUGCGCUUGCUGGCGAUCUGCUCCGCCCCGAUCUCCGCCGCCUGCAACUCCGACCGUCCCGAUCUGCUCCGGCUGGACCCGCCCGGGCCGCCUACAACUCUGACCGCGCCGCUCGGGCUCGCCGCCGCUGGAACCCGCCCCGAUCCGCGCCGCGUGCUCGUCCUCCCUGCCGGCUCUGACCAAGUGCCUGCAGUUCCGAAGCGUACCACAUGAAAGAGGCCAGCGCAUGAUGGCUCUUCAUAAUUUUAUAAGGGACAGCGCCAUACAUGAUGCAGAUUUUGAUAACUAUGUUGAUGAUAGUGGCGGACAAGAGAGCACGGGUAUCACAGAUGAGUCAUUUCCGUGAUUCCAUUGCUGCGGCUCUGAUAGCAUGAUUGCCCAAUCAGUUGUUUUUUAUUAUUUUGGAGAUAAAAUUAUUGUAAAAGAUUAAAUUUUAGUUAAUCCUAUAAUGUUAAAAAGUUAAUACAUCACUGCAUUCUAUGCUAAUUCAGCUACCGAACAAGAUAUCAUCAACCUCAGGGGCAUAUAUGUCAUUACACAUUCACGCACACAAUCAAUCAGCAAAUAAUUAGGUCAGCCAAACUCUCAACUUAUUCUGCCAGUAUAUCCCUAGUAACUUGUUCGAAGAUAAUAUACUCCAACAGUUCGAACAAGGAUGAAUGCAAACUGCUAAAUGUUCGUUUAAUUUAUAACUUAAUUAGACUUGGACUAAAUUACACCUAACUUUUAAUAAGUGACAAAUCAUGUUUUGUCAAUAUUUUGCGAAUGCAUCAUGUAUAAGCUUAUCUCUCAAUCUAAGCAAUCCUUUCAUAGAUCCAAAUAAAUAUGUAUUUCAUGAAUCCAAGUAUUUUUUUUUGUAAAUUCAAAUGAUAUUUUCCUAGUUCAAGUAACAUUCUUGGUGAAAUAUUUUCGUAUUUUCAGUUUCCUAUGUGUUUUUAAGUUCCUCAAAAAGAAUACAAUUAAAGAUGUGGCCUUCCCUCCAAGCACAUAUAUGGAUAUAUGGAGCACUUUUUUCAACCUGCACUUUGAAAGCCAAAGCCAAGGAAGAUCAUAUCAACGACUCUCCUAAUUCAUUUUAGGAUAAGUAAAAGAAUUCACAUUCAAGACAGGAGUUCUGCGAUCAACAACAAAUCUGAACAAAAUACCUCGGUAAUCUCUAUAUCGAGGCUGCCCCUCUGUCUGUCUGUCUGUCUCUCUCUCUCUCUCUCUCUCUCUAAAUUCUUUUUGGAACUCUGUAAAUCUCAUACUGACCGGAACAUCCAAACAGUCAGUGGGAACCAACAACCAGCAUGCCAUCACCAUCUGAAUGCUUUCUGUUCUUUACAGCAGCAUAUAAUAUAACUUUCGGCCGCACCCAGCUUUUACAAACUUCAUCUAGUGACGGCCGAAUAAGUGUUAUA